AACCCUGGAAGGAGAAAUUGGAAAUGCAACCUUUUAUUUAUUUAUUUAUUUAGUGUUUUUUUUUUUUUUCUGGAACAUGGACACGCUCCCAGUUGUGAGAAAUGCAGCAUCUGCAUUUUCGUACGCUGUUUGUACACGAGGCUUCUCCAUAGUACUCAGUACGUUACAUCUAACGUGCACCACGCGAUGGCCGUUUGAUAGAAUAAGUAAGCACGGGGGGAAAGGAGGGGCAUAAAAAACAGGACUCCCAUCUUGCUUCUGUCACGCUCUCCAUUCAGGCCGUUUCCGUUUUUCUGCCAUGAAUAAUAGCCGCUGACCGUGUCCCUCCAUUUCCGUUCUGUUUUAAGCCGCCCAGGGCCCGGUCGUUUGGGCCAAGAAGACAGAAAGAGCUUCUCAGUAAAUCCGAAUAUUCCAGAGCCCCUGUGGACGCCUAAAAGA
Cygnus olor (mute swan) is the source of this 438-nucleotide long non-coding RNA. RefSeq lists it as uncharacterized. The record is from RefSeq and is a predicted model, not a curated record. Lineage: Eukaryota; Metazoa; Chordata; Aves; Anseriformes; Anatidae. The transcript has 2 exons.